CCUACGGGAGGCAGCAGUGAGGAAUAUUGGUCAAUGGACGCAAGUCUGAACCAGCCAUGCCGCGUGCAGGAAGACGGCUCUAUGAGUUGUAAACUGCUUUUGUACGAGGGUAAACGCAGAUACGCGUAUCUGUCUGAAAGUAUCGUACGAAUAAGGAUCGGCUAACUCCGUGCCAGCAGCCGCGGUAAUACGGAGGAUUCAAGCGUUAUCCGGAUUUAUUGGGUUUAAAGGGUGCGUAGGCGGUCGGAUAAGUUAGAUGUGAAAUCCCGAGGCUCAACUUCGGAAUUGCCUCUGAUACUGUUCGGCUAGAGAGUAGUUGCGGUAGGCGGAAUGUAUGGUGUAGCGGUGAAAUGCUUAGAGAUCAUACAGAACACCGAUUGCGAAGGCAGCCUACCAAGCUACUUCUGACGUUGAGGCACGAAAGCGUGGGGAGCAAACAGGAUUAGAUACCCGUGUAGUC
RNAcentral lists this ribosomal RNA (460 nucleotides) under uncultured bacterium. Its description in RNAcentral is "partial 16S ribosomal RNA". It matches the Rfam family "Bacterial small subunit ribosomal RNA", at positions 338 to 795 of the family's 1533-position model. The record is from RNAcentral.